This 406-nucleotide ribosomal RNA is filed under the name Aqaballianassa sp. PNG-1166. RNAcentral's name for it is "partial small subunit ribosomal RNA". The record is from RNAcentral. Lineage: Eukaryota; Metazoa; Arthropoda; Malacostraca; Decapoda; Callianassidae.
AUUCUGGCCGCAAUAUCUUGAAAUCUACCAAAUCUGUAAAAGCUAUAAUCUCUAAACUUAAAAGAUUUGGCGGUAAUUUUUACCAGUUAGAGGAACCUGUGAUAUAAAUGAUACACCACGUAAAAUCUCACCUAUUUUUAUGCUUACAUACCGUCAUUAUAAAAUAACUUUUAAAAAAUCAGUUAUUUAAAUAAAUUAUACUUUAAUUAUUAGAUCAAGGCGUAGUUAUAAAUAGGAAUUUCCAUGGGUUACAAUAAAACUUUAUUUAUACGAACAAUAAAUUUAAAUAUUUAUUUGAAGGAGGAUUUAAUAGUAAAUUCAUUUUAAUAUGUUAAAUUGAAAAGGAUUUAAAUUGUGUACAAAUCGCCCGUCACUUCCAUUACCAGUGGAAUAAGUCGUAACAUAG